Molecule: long non-coding RNA, 1100 nt
Organism: Rhagoletis pomonella (apple maggot)
Lineage: Eukaryota; Metazoa; Arthropoda; Insecta; Diptera; Tephritidae
Exons: 2
Source: RefSeq, a predicted model, not a curated record
AUUCAAAACAAAGAUUUCAAAUUUCCAAGCGCUGGUUUAUUGAUAAAUUCGCGUAGUAAGUCACAGCAAAAUGCAACAUAAGCAUUACCCGUUGACACACAUUCCAUUAUCGCUGACCAAGCAAUUCAACAUUUGUAUUGCCCGCCGCAUGGAGCGACGCCGCCACUGUACAAGCAGAAUACUUCGGCGACACGUCAUGAACUGCGUUUUGAUUGGUUGCUUUGCAAAUUUGGAAUGCUGAAUCACAAAGCACUGGAAAAGAGGUGGAGCAAUGAAAGUGGUUUAACAAAUAAUUUGUGUAUAAAUAGCAUUAAGUUUAAUCAAUAAAAUUAGAAUAUGAACGACAAGUUUUGACUUUUAUCAUUUCUCCAACUUAGACAACUGCAAAGUUGCCUAGACAAAGAUUUCGGCAGCCUCACGGCCGCCUAUCGAACGGCACAACCUUCUCUGCCUAACAAGAAGAGGGCUAUUAAUAAAAACGAUAGAAUAUAGGACCUCCACAUGCCGAUUCUGCCAAAUACAUAUUCAUUUUUCACAUUGUUGAUCGCCUCCACAUGGCGAUCAUGCCAAAAUAUACUUUAAAUCGUUAACACAUGGCGUGGUGAAAGUCAAUUUUUAGCGCCAUCCUGAUAGCCAUCACGGGCUACGAAGUCGGUAAGCCGAAAUCAAUAACAACAAAGACUCGACUUCAUAGCACUUUUUAUAAACCUAGUACUUGUGGCCAUGUUCACGGUAUUAGAAAAGUAUUUCAACAGACGACUACGUCGGAUGAGAAUUGAAGCACAACGCAUAUAAACGCGGCCAAUAUUAAUUUAUCUAUAUAGAAAACCCCAUGUACAGCAUUUUCAUAUCUUUAUAGUGUAUUGCCGGCCGCAUGGAGCGACGCCGCCUCUGCACAAACAGAAUAUUUCGGCGACACGUCAUGCACUGCGUUUUGAUUGGUUGCUUUGCAAAUUUGGAAUGCUGAAUCAUAAAGCACUGGAAAAGAGGCGGAGCUACGAAAGUGGCUGGGGAAAUAAUGUGUAUAAAUAGUAUCAAGUUUGAUCAAUAAAAUUAGAAUAUGAAUGACAAGCUUUGACUUUCAUCAUUUCUCCAAAUUC